GGCCCCUUAGCUCAGUGGUUAGAGCGCACGACUCAUAAUCGUUCGGUCCCCAGUUCAAAUCUGGGAGGGGCCACCA
This 76-nucleotide transfer RNA is filed under the name Alteromonas sp. Its description in RNAcentral is "tRNA-Ile". It matches the Rfam family "tRNA". Rfam says of the family: Transfer RNA (tRNA) molecules are approximately 80 nucleotides in length. Their secondary structure includes four short double-helical elements and three loops (D, anti-codon, and T loops). Further hydrogen bonds mediate the characteristic L-shaped molecular structure. tRNAs have two regions of fundamental functional importance: the anti-codon, which is responsible for specific mRNA codon recognition, and the 3' end, to which the tRNAs corresponding amino acid is attached (by aminoacyl-tRNA synthetases). tRNAs cope with the degeneracy of the genetic code in two manners: having more than one tRNA (with a specific anti-codon) for a particular amino acid; and 'wobble' base-pairing, i.e. permitting non-standard base-pairing at the 3rd anti-codon position. RNAcentral also lists the same sequence under 343 other names. The record is from RNAcentral. Lineage: Bacteria; Pseudomonadati; Pseudomonadota; Gammaproteobacteria; Alteromonadales; Alteromonadaceae.